GGGGGUAUAGCUUAGUGGUACAGCAUUCGACUGCAGUUCGAGAGGUCCUCGGUUCAAACCCGUGUGUCCUCU
This 72-nucleotide transfer RNA is filed under the name Trichonephila inaurata madagascariensis. It matches the Rfam family "tRNA". Rfam says of the family: Transfer RNA (tRNA) molecules are approximately 80 nucleotides in length. Their secondary structure includes four short double-helical elements and three loops (D, anti-codon, and T loops). Lineage: Eukaryota; Metazoa; Arthropoda; Arachnida; Araneae; Nephilidae. The record is from Rfam by way of RNAcentral.